This is a non-coding RNA of Delphinapterus leucas (beluga whale), 553 nucleotides long. The record is from RefSeq and is a predicted model, not a curated record. NCBI's taxonomy places the organism in Eukaryota, Metazoa, Chordata, Mammalia, Artiodactyla, Monodontidae.
CAGUGGAUAACUUCUCCAUCGGUGAAGGAACCAUGCAAAGCUGCUAGACAGAAAAAGAGAACUAUAAUUUUGGGAAGUGGUUGAAAAGGAAAAGCUACUAUUAGAAUUGCAAAACUUGGUGGAGUGAAUGUAGAAGUCACUGUAUGCUUUUAAUUAAAGGAACACAAUAAAUCUUGUAUUGGAAGCGUUCUCCAUGGAAACAUCACGGAAACUUCUGGACUCAAUUUCCUUCCCCAUGUGUGAAUGUCACUGAAAAUAUCCAACUCCAUUCUAUCCCCAUAUAACUUCAGAAACUAAGCAAAAUGAAGACUCAAAAUUCAUUUCAAAUAAUGAAAUGAAGAUAUAAUGUAGAAUGGAAUUGGGAAAAUGUCUGGUUUAAAUUCUGGAAAGUACCAGCUAUACAAUUCUGGAUAAGUUGCUUAAUCUUGCUUAGUCUAAUUUGAUGCCCAUCUCACAGGAUGUUAUGAUGAUUUAUUUAAUAUCUUUGUAUAACAUACAGUGUUAUGUAAUUUCUUCUUGUUUUUCUUGAGUAAAUUCAUAUCCUUAAGCAACU